GGAUGUAAGGGUGAUCUGGCUGUGACAUCUGUCACCCCAUUGAUCGCCAGGGUUGAUUUGGCUGAUCUGGCUGGCUAGGUGGGUGUCCCCUUCCUCCCUCAAUACUCCAUGUGUGUCUGUCCAGAAGCUGCAUGCUUGGUCAAAGAGGACAACCACCCCCAAUAGAGGAGGACUGUUCCUUCGUCAAGGGUAUACCUGUAGCUGCGCUUCCCUGCUAGAACCUCCAAACAAACUCUCAAGGUGGCAGAAGACAGCAAAAGCAACAAGAGCACAAGAGGGUGAGAGCAAGCCUCUUUUUCUACCUUAUAUUG
Molecule: small nuclear RNA, 311 nt
Filed under: Chinchilla lanigera (long-tailed chinchilla)
Lineage: Eukaryota; Metazoa; Chordata; Mammalia; Rodentia; Chinchillidae
Description: 7SK RNA (ENSCLAG00000021619.1)
Rfam family: 7SK RNA
About the family: 7SK was discovered as an abundant small nuclear RNA in the mid-70s but a possible function has only recently been suggested. Two independent studies have found that 7SK RNA binds the CDK9/cyclin T complex (known as elongation factor P-TEFb).
Source: RNAcentral